CACACACACGCACACACACGCACACACACGCACACACACACACACACACACACACACACACACACACACACACACACACACACACACACACACACACACACACACACACACACAUAUUUGGUACACACAUGUGAUAUAAUUUUGUGUUGCUACACAUGUCCUGUACUGUGUGCUAAAAGUUUUAUUUUUUAAUCCAGUCUUCUGAGAUUAAGAGUACAGUGCAAGGUACAUUGAUCCAGUUUUAAUAUGAUGAUAGGGUUUCCGUGUUAGUUUGAAAAUGUGUAAAGGACAAGCAGAAACUUCCCUUCAGUUCUAUGUUAUAAUCUUCUUACAGAAAUUAGAUAUGACUUGCCUUGCAUAGAAUUUGAGAAUUAAUGCUGUAGCAAACCAUCCUGUGUUAUAUCUUAUUCUUUAAAAGCUCAUUUUUGAAUUAAUACCCAAGAAUCUCUUGCCUGUAUUAGGCUGCAGUUCUCAUUAUAAGAAUUAGUUCACAGGACAGGGGAUGAUUACAAUUGUAAUAAUUUCUCUCUGUAACUGGCAGGCUAUUGGGCUGUUUAGACCCCCAGAUAUAUAUAUAUAUAUAUAUAUAUAUAUAUAUAUAUAUAUAUAUAUAUAUAUAUAUAUAUAUAUAUAUAUAUUUUAGCUACUUCUUUGUUUGUGUUCAGUAGAUAUGAUAUUCAUGUAUUGGUAGGACAUGCUUUUGAUGGGUUAUGAGUUCAUAUAUUAAGUAUACUAUGUAUAUUGUUAAUGAGAUACAGUAUACAUGAAUUUAGUGUGUAUCUGAUAACAAGGAUUCACUUAUUCUUCACUGAUAGUACAUGAGUUUUAAUAUUCAUGAUAUCAUGGAAUAUAUUUUGACAGAUGAUGAGUAUAUAUAUCAAGCGUAAUAUUAUCAGUGAGACACAGUGUUUAAGUGAAUUCAGUGAUUCAGAUGACAUAUAAAUUCAAUUGCUCUUCAUUGAUCAGUUCACCCAGUCAUACACAUCCACUGUCCAUCCAGAUAGAUAUAUAACUGCAAUCUGUGAUUCUACAUAUUCAGUCCCUCUCAUGUUCAAAUCUUCUACUGAGUGUAUUUAGUUAUUUUUUUUAUGCACUCCUGUAUACAUCUUUCUGUCCAUCCAUUCAUCCAUAAGUAUUCAGCUACAUACACAUGCACUUGUCUAUUCAAGCCAUCCAGACACACAAAGUGGUAAUUACAAUACACGUCGUGCCUUUCCUCUCCAGUGUUUGUGUGUAAUGAAACAUACUCAUUUCUGAAGGUUGUGAUGUUUAGCAGGAAAGAACAAAAAAAGAAACCAACAGGUAAAAUUGAUGAAAAUGCAUGUUGGUUAAUGGACAUGCGGUAAUUGCACUUUUGUACUCAAGGUGAAAAAAAAUGAAUUAUGAAUUUAGCUUAUACUUGCUUCCGAUUUUAUCUUACAAGUAUUUCUCUUUCUCUCUCUCUCACUCUCUCUCUAUAGCAGUUAGAGUAGUGGGCUUUGGAUAGCUUUCCGUUGCUCUAAUCUAAUUUCAUGCUAAUUUUAGAGAUGUAGCCAGAUAAGAGACUGGGUCACGUAUGUGGCCUUGGCACAAAGAAAUCCCUGUUAUUUAGUUAGUGUUUAGUAACUGUUAAAAAAGGAAAACCAUGCAGUAUUGGAAAUUUAGCAAUUACUUGUAGCUUUCUUGCAAUGUAUUGUGAAUGAGUAUCACUCUAAGAGGUCUAAACUUGGUUGUUACGUCAUUGCAGUUGGAUUGUAGUUGUCUUUUUGUCUUUUUUAUGCCUUUAUUUCUUAGGAGAUAAUAUGCAGAUACUAAUUUCAAAACAUUCUAGAAUACUAGGAUAAGAAGAGAUAGGAAGGUAAAGGAAACUAAUCAUGGAAAUUACAUACCAGCUGGACGGGUUAUCCUCUACAAGUGAACCCCAUUUGUGAACGCUAGAUUUUCGAGACAAAGUUGGUUUGUAAUAUGGACUGCUCAACAUUCCAAUCAAAUAGAGAAUGGAUCUGAUGCUUGUAAUAUUCAUGCUUUAAAAUAUAAUAGCAUAAAAGGAAUUCCUGUUCCCCAUAAAAUUUAUGCAGUGAAAUUAGUGAAUUCUUACCUUUUUUUUUAUAUUUAUAGUUCUUAUAUUACAAAAUAGGAACAUUUUUACUAAAGUACUUGUAUCAUUUGAUUGGUAUUGUUAGAUGGAAAGGUUCUCCUAUAGUCUAAAAAAUAAGAAAUUAUUGUGUGAAAUCUAUUUACUUAUUGAAUGGUUUAUAUCUCAAAAAGAAGGUCUCUCAGCACUCUGUCCUUUUAAGACUAACAUCAUUGAGCAAACUGUUGUCAGCCAUUAGCCAUAUUUAGCAUGAGAAGUAGCUUAUGGAGAUAUUAGACAUGCAUGCUCUGCAGCAGUUGAGGCUUUAUUAGAAGGCUGGGAAAUCCUGAAAUAGUUCACAGGCUUUUAGUAUAAUAUAUUACUAGUAGUAUUAAUGUUUUUGAUAUUCUUCUUAGCACUAUUUUUUCUUCAUUAUUAUUAGUAGUAGCAUUAAUAAUAAUGAUAAUUAUCAUUAUUAUUAUUAUUAUUAUUAUUAUUAUUAUUAUUGUCAUUAUUUCUUGUUUCCUAUUAUUUAUGGUCUUAAAAUUCAUAUAGUGUGUGUAUUAUUUAUGUGUCAUUCUCCCUUUUUCCUUUUCAGCCUUUCUGGUUUCACAUUCACUAAAAUUUCAGCCUACUUAAGUUAUUGCUGUGUAAUGGAACCACUUAUACAAGUUAUUCUGUACAUUAGAAAUAGGCUUGUUCUAAAACAGCUGUCGUAAAGUGCAGGUCAAGGAGGUUUGAUAUAGAUCGAGUCAACAUUCAACACCAAAGUGAAGGUUGCACUUUCUUGAGGUAAUGAAACAAAUGUUAAUUAAUUCUUGAGGUAAUGAAACCAAUGUUAAUUAAUUCUUGAGGUAAUGAAACCAAUGUUAAUUAAUUCUUGAGGCAAUGAAACCAAUGUUAAUUAAUUCUUGAGGUAAUGAAACAAAUGUUAAUUAAUUCUUGAGGUAAUGAAACAAAUGUUAAUUAAUUCUUGAGGUAAUGAAACCAAUGUUAAUUAAUUCUUGAGGCAAUGAAACCAAUGUUAAUUAAUUCUUGAGGUAAUGAAACAAAUGUUAAUUAAUUCUUGAGGUAAUGAAACCAAUGUUAAUUAAUUCUUGAGGCAAUGAAACCAAUGUUAAUUAAUUCUUGAGGCAAUGAAACCAAUGUUAAUUAAUUCUUGAGGUAAUGAAACAAAUGUUAAUUAAUUCUUGAGGUAAUGAAACAAAUGUUAAUUAAUUCUUGAGGUAAUGAAACAAAUGUUAAUUAAUUCUUGAGGUAAUGAAACCAAUGUUAAUUAAUUCUUGAGGUAAUGAAACCAAUGUUAAUUAAUUCUUGAGGCAAUGAAACCAAUGUUAAUUAAUUCUUGAGGUAAUGAAACAAAUGUUAAUUAAUUCUUGAGGUAAUGAAACAAAUGUUAAUUAAUUCUUGAGGUAAUGAAACAAAUGUUAAUUAAUUCUUGAGGUAAUGAAACAAAUGUUAAUUAAUUUUUGAGGUAAUG
Molecule: long non-coding RNA, 3533 nt
Organism: Penaeus chinensis
Lineage: Eukaryota; Metazoa; Arthropoda; Malacostraca; Decapoda; Penaeidae
Exons: 2
Source: RefSeq, a predicted model, not a curated record